CAGUCGCCGCGGGAAUACGUAGGGUGCAAGCGUUAAUCGGAAUUACUGGGCGUAAGCGUGCGCAGGCGGUUAUAUAAGACAGAUGUGAAAUCCCCGGGCUCAACCUGGGAACUGCAUUUGUGACUGUAUAGCUAGAGUACGGCAGAGGGGGAUGGAAUUCCGCGUGUAGCAGUGAAAUGCGUAGAUAUGCGGAGGAACACCGAUGGCGAAGGCAAUCCCCUGGGCCUGUACUGACGCUCAUGCACGAAAGCGUGGGGAGCAAACAGGAUUAGAUACCCGUGUAGUCCCUGUCUCUUAUACA
Molecule: ribosomal RNA, 301 nt
Filed under: uncultured bacterium
Lineage: Bacteria
Description: partial 16S ribosomal RNA
Rfam family: Bacterial small subunit ribosomal RNA
Source: RNAcentral